Molecule: ribosomal RNA, 253 nt
Filed under: uncultured bacterium
Lineage: Bacteria
Description: partial 16S ribosomal RNA
Rfam family: Bacterial small subunit ribosomal RNA
Source: RNAcentral
UACGAAGGGUGCAAGCGUUACUCGGAAUUACUGGGCGUAAAGGGCGCGUAGGCGGCGCAACAAGUCACUUGUGAAAUCUCCGGGCUUAACCCGGAGCGGUCAAGUGAUACUGUCGUGCUAGAGUGCGGAAGGGGCUACUGGAAUUCUCGGUGUAGCGGUGAAAUGCGUAGAUAUCGAGAGGAACACCUGCGGCGAAGGCGGGUAGCUGGGCCGACACUGACGCUGAGGCGCGAAAGCCAGGGGAGCGAACGGG